Non-coding RNA from Dipodomys ordii (Ord's kangaroo rat), 65 nucleotides. The record is from Rfam. NCBI's taxonomy places the organism in Eukaryota, Metazoa, Chordata, Mammalia, Rodentia, Heteromyidae.
GGUGGCUCAGUGGUAGAGUGCUUGCCUUGCAUGCAUGAGGCCUUGGGUUUGAUUCCUCAGUACCA